Molecule: long non-coding RNA, 669 nt
Filed under: Rattus norvegicus (Norway rat)
Lineage: Eukaryota; Metazoa; Chordata; Mammalia; Rodentia; Muridae
Description: long non-coding RNA NONRATT024440
Source: RNAcentral
CUUGGCGGCCAUGGCAGCUGUAGUAUUGGCGGCUCAGGGUCAGGGCCUGGCUGAGGGAAGUACCAUGGGUAGCACCGGGUGUAGGACAGAGACAGCGUCGUAUCGACUUUGCUGUUGAAUCCUCCAGCCCAUUGUUAGAGACUUGCAGGACAUCUUGCCCGACUCUAGACUCGAAAGGUACUUUGCUGGCACUGGUGGGCUGGUCCCUUCCCUGGGGGCGUAUCACCUGCGGUGCCACCCCUGGGAACUGGUACCGCGUGUGGAGAAGACACUUGGGUUUACCUUUUUUUUUCCUGCUGCUACCAGGGACGUUGUCUUGGGGAGCGGGUCGUCGUGUCACCCUCAUUCUGACGAUUAAGGAGAUCUCUUUUUGCACAAUUUCUCCAUCUGUUACCUACCGGAAUCCCAGUGACUGGCAACCAAGUACCUAAGACUGCGCAAAGUUUUCUCUGGUGCUAGUAUCAGCAAAAGGAGCUUGCUUCUUAAGAGAGCGGCGGGCUUCAUGAACUCACCGGCCGGUGGCAAGGCUGAAAGAAGUGAGGAAAUUCCCGUUUUCUUGGAAGACCACACGUUUAAACAGCCCAAGCGCCGUUUGAAACUGGAAUUUUAAAGCCUGGUGGAGGGGUGACUACAGGAGGGCAGAAUGGAUGACUUUCUCUCCAUUAGUCU